CCUUUCUUAGCUCAGUUGGUAGAGCGGCCCCCUGAAGAGGGGCGCGUCGGUGGUUCGAAUCCAUCAGGAAGGACCA
RNAcentral lists this transfer RNA (76 nucleotides) under marine sediment metagenome. Its description in RNAcentral is "tRNA-Phe". It matches the Rfam family "tRNA". Rfam says of the family: Transfer RNA (tRNA) molecules are approximately 80 nucleotides in length. Their secondary structure includes four short double-helical elements and three loops (D, anti-codon, and T loops). The record is from RNAcentral.